ACUUCAUAAGUAUAACCCGUACGUCUUCCUUCCAAGUUGAAAGUUUGGUCUCCUCCAAAUGAAGUA
This 66-nucleotide transfer RNA is filed under the name Pisione sp. YZ-2018. RNAcentral describes it as "tRNA-Gly". Lineage: Eukaryota; Metazoa; Annelida; Polychaeta; Phyllodocida; Pisionidae. The record is from RNAcentral.